This 569-nucleotide ribosomal RNA is filed under the name Aspergillus fumigatus. RNAcentral describes it as "eukaryotic LSU rRNA". The stretch from base 202 to 355 matches the Rfam family "5.8S ribosomal RNA". The record is from RNAcentral. Lineage: Eukaryota; Fungi; Ascomycota; Eurotiomycetes; Eurotiales; Aspergillaceae.
UGCGGAAGGAUCAUUACCGAGUGAGGGCCCUCUGGGUCCAACCUCCCACCCGUGUCUAUCGUACCUUGUUGCUUCGGCGGGCCCGCCGUUUCGACGGCCGCCGGGGAGGCCUUGCGCCCCCGGGCCCGCGCCCGCCGAAGACCCCAACAUGAACGCUGUUCUGAAAGUAUGCAGUCUGAGUUGAUUAUCGUAAUCAGUUAAAACUUUCAACAACGGAUCUCUUGGUUCCGGCAUCGAUGAAGAACGCAGCGAAAUGCGAUAAGUAAUGUGAAUUGCAGAAUUCAGUGAAUCAUCGAGUCUUUGAACGCACAUUGCGCCCCCUGGUAUUCCGGGGGGCAUGCCUGUCCGAGCGUCAUUGCUGCCCUCAAGCACGGCUUGUGUGUUGGGCCCCCGUCCCCCUCUCCCGGGGGACGGGCCCGAAAGGCAGCGGCGGCACCGCGUCCGGUCCUCGAGCGUAUGGGGCUUUGUCACCUGCUCUGUAGGCCCGGCCGGCGCCAGCCGACACCCAACUUUAUUUUUCUAAGGUUGACCUCGGAUCAGGUAGGGAUACCCGCUGAACUUAAGCAUAU